This 103-nucleotide microRNA precursor is filed under the name Marmota monax (woodchuck). Lineage: Eukaryota; Metazoa; Chordata; Mammalia; Rodentia; Sciuridae. The record is from RNAcentral.
AGUGGGAUUGCUGGAUCAUAUGGUAGUUCUAUUUUUAAUCUUUUGAGGAACAUCCAUACUGUUUUUCAUAAUGUCUGUAUUAAUUUACACUUCCACCAACAGU